Molecule: long non-coding RNA, 1206 nt
Organism: Esox lucius (northern pike)
Lineage: Eukaryota; Metazoa; Chordata; Actinopteri; Esociformes; Esocidae
Source: Ensembl
UACCAAAUAGGGUUUUAAAAACAUCCGGUCGCUUGACAAGCGGUACGUAAUGCCAUUACACAACCAUUUUUCUCAAGUUGCCAUCCCAGAGCUGUACGAGAAAUGCAAGGCACAAAUUGAAAAAGAGCUGUCUCAAGUGGAAUAUUAUACAGUAACAACGGACAACGGAGCCCUACAUAAGUCGCAUGGUGCUGAGUGCUGCAGAGAGGGUGAUCCGCCAAGCUUCACCAAUGCCAGCUCGUAAGGUGUCGACAGUCACAGACAUCGUCCCGGAGGAGAUUGGAACGGAGGAUGUUUUUCUGCUUGGGGAACACAUUGAGGAGACUCAGUUUGGCAUCGACAACCAUCAUUCUGACUUGUUGUCAAUGGUUGUUUCUGUGUUUCUCAAAAUAAGGCUGCACCACAUUACCAAACUCAACUCUCUUGAACUGCAGAAAGGGAGCACGGGGAAGAACUGUCCUCUUUCAGGGGUUUUAGAGCGUGUGCAUGUGUGUGGUUCCGCGACAAUUCAAGACUUCAAUCCUAAAUUCCAGCAUCCCAAAAUGAAUUCUAAGCUUUCUAUCUGUACUUUAACCUUACUCAUCACACAUAGUAUCUUUAUGUCAUAUCUGUCAUCAUUCUGACAAGAUUAACACCGAAACUGAAAGCAAUGGCUUAAAACUGCCUGAAAACAGUGGUCUGUCACAUUUUAUGUGAAUACUGCUGUAAGUGUUGGUGGGUCUGUAAAUACCUCUGUUUGUUUGUGUUUCAUGAACUCUAGCCUCAUGGUGUGUGUCUCCAGGAAUCCAAAUGUUGGUCUCCUUUGCCUUAACCUGGGUUUGUGAGCUUGUGUAUAAUGAAGUUUAUCUUUACAUUAUGUCCUUGUGUUUGUGAUUGUCUUAGCCCUGAUCUCUUUCCCAAUGGGUUCUGAAAAGCACUUGUAACUGUGUUUUGAAAAUUGCUACAUUAAUUAAGUUUGCAGACUUUUCAAGGGAGUUUCAACAAAGUAAAUGUGCAGUUUAAAUAAAAACUGUCACUUUUCAUUUCAUCCUGCUAUUUUAGACUGGGACCCAUGUGUGUAUGUUGGGAUGGGGGCUGUGAAAUGAGAGAGAGAGAAAUAUAUAUUUCUGACUUUACUGCCACUAUUUACACAUUAGGUGUUUCAAUCAGAAUCAUUGUCAAACUGGAAAUGUUCCUGUUUUUCUCCCUUUUUGGGGAUUAUGUUCA